This 68-nucleotide transfer RNA is filed under the name Yangisunda tiani. RNAcentral's name for it is "tRNA-Thr". The record is from RNAcentral. Lineage: Eukaryota; Metazoa; Arthropoda; Insecta; Hemiptera; Cicadellidae.
GUUUUAAUAAUUUAAAAAAAAUAAUGAUUUUGUAAAUCAUARCUAAGAUUCAUAGAUCUUUUAAAACA